RNAcentral lists this ribosomal RNA (440 nucleotides) under uncultured bacterium. Its description in RNAcentral is "partial 16S ribosomal RNA". It matches the Rfam family "Bacterial small subunit ribosomal RNA", at positions 338 to 795 of the family's 1533-position model. The record is from RNAcentral.
CCUACGGGAGGCAGCAGUGGGGGAUAUUGCACAAUGGGGGGAACCCUGAUGCAGCGACGCCGCGUGGGUGAAGAAGCGCCUCGGCGCGUAAAGCCCUGUCAGCAGGGAAGAAAAUGACGGUACCUGAAGAAGAAGCCCCGGCUAACUACGUGCCAGCAGCCGCGGGAAUAAGUAGGGGGCAAGCGUUAUCCGGAUUUACUGGGUGUAAAGGGGGCGCAGACGGCGAUGCAAGCCAGGAGUGAAAGCCCGGGGGCCAACCCCGGGACUGCUCUUGGAACUGCGUGGCUGGAGUGCAGGAGGGGCAGGCGGAAUUCCUGGUGUAGCGGUGAAAUGCGUAGAUAUCAGGAGGAACACCGGUGGCGAAGGCGGCCUGCUGGACUGCAACUGACGUUGAGGCCCGAAAGCGUGGGGAGCAAACAGGAUUAGAUACCCUUGUAGUC